UACGGGAGGCAGCAGUGGGGAAUAUUGCACAAUGGGCGCAAGCCUGAUGCAGCCAUGCCGCGUGUAUGAAGAAGGCCUUCGGGUUGUAAAGUACUUUCAGUCGUGAGGAAGGUGUUAAGGUUAAUAACCUUAGCAAUUGACGUUAGCGACAGAAGAAGCACCGGCUAACUCCGUGCCAGCAGCCGCGGUAAUACGGAGGGUGCGAGCGUUAAUCGGAAUUACUGGGCGUAAAGGGCACGCAGGCGGUUAAUUAAGUUGGAUGUGAAAUCCCCGGGCUUAACCUGGGAAUGGCAUUCAAGACUGGUUAGCUAGAGUCUUGUAGAGGGGGUAGAAUUCCAUGUGUAGCGGUGAAAUGCGUAGAGAUGUGGAGGAAUACCGGUGGCGAAGGCGGCCCCUGGCAAAGACUGACGCUCAUGUGCGAAGCGUGGGGAGCGAAACAGGAUUAGAUACC
RNAcentral lists this ribosomal RNA (451 nucleotides) under uncultured bacterium. RNAcentral describes it as "bacterial SSU rRNA". It matches the Rfam family "Bacterial small subunit ribosomal RNA", at positions 340 to 786 of the family's 1533-position model. The record is from RNAcentral.